Small nuclear RNA from Choloepus hoffmanni (Hoffmann's two-fingered sloth), 103 nucleotides. The record is from Ensembl. NCBI's taxonomy places the organism in Eukaryota, Metazoa, Chordata, Mammalia, Pilosa, Megalonychidae.
GUGCUUGCUUCGGCAGCACGUAUACUAAAAUUGGGAAAAGAGAAGAUUAGCAUGGCCUUUGCAAAAAGAUGAUACACAAAUUCAUGAAGCAUUCCAUAUUUUU